This 433-nucleotide ribosomal RNA is filed under the name uncultured bacterium. RNAcentral's name for it is "partial 16S ribosomal RNA". It matches the Rfam family "Bacterial small subunit ribosomal RNA", at positions 29 to 507 of the family's 1533-position model. The record is from RNAcentral.
AACGAACGCUGGCGGCAUGCCUAACACAUGCAAGUCGAACGAGACCUUCGGGUCUAGUGGCGCACGGGUGCGUAACGCGUGGGAACCUGCCCUUAGGUUCGGAAUAACUCCCCGAAAGGGGUGCUAAUACCGGAUAAUGUCUUCGGACCAAAGAUUUAUCGCCUUUGGAUGGGCCCGCGUUGGCUUAGCUAGUUGGUAUGGUAAAAGCCUACCAAGGCGACGAUCCAUAGCUGGUCAGAGAGGAUGAUCAGCCACACUGGGACUGAGACACGGCCCAGACUCCUGCGGGAGGCAGCAGUGGGGAAUAUUGGACAAUGGGCUGAAGGCUGAUCCAGCAAUGCCGCGUGAGUGAUGAAGGCCUUAGGGUUGUAAAGCGCUUUUACCCGGGAUGAUAAUGACAGUACCGGGAGAAUAAGCUCCGGCUAACUCCGUG